Molecule: ribosomal RNA, 1212 nt
Filed under: Triticum aestivum (bread wheat)
Lineage: Eukaryota; Viridiplantae; Streptophyta; Magnoliopsida; Poales; Poaceae
Description: partial small subunit ribosomal RNA
Source: RNAcentral
AUGAGGCCGAUUUGUUCACUAGUACCUCAACCACCUCUACUAGUCUCUGAGCUUAUUGAUGCUUCAUCUGCGUCAUGGCGAGAGGAAGAGCUAAGGAGGAUUUUUGUACCGCUUGAUGUUGAGGAAAUACUACAAAUUCCGUUGUGCAAAAAAAGGAUUAGAGAUUUUUGGGCAUGGGGGGAAGAUUGUCGAGGCGAGUUUUCAGUGAGUUCAGCGUAUAAGAUGCUUUCGAAUGUGAAGAGACAGCGAGAAAAUCUUCUUGAGGGAGCUGCAGGUUCGUCGGCUUCAGAGAAGGAGCAGAAAGCCUGGACGUCCCUAUGGAACAUCAAGGUUCCGUCGAAACUGAAGAACUUCAUAUGGAGAUUGUGCGAUGACUCGAUACCGACGGCGGAUGUCUUACACCAUAGACAUAUGGCCCCAAGUUUUGUUUGUUCCUUCUGUUCGGCGGAGGACAACUGGAAGCAUGCCCUGAUUGAAUGUGUCGUGGCUAGGUGCGUUUGGUCCUUAUCAUCUAAUGAGCUGACUGAAUCAAUGCGGGGCAACUUAAAUCUGAGUGCAAAAAACUGGAUGUUCAUGAUGCAUGAAACGUUGCCUCAUGAUGAAUUCACACGCAUGGUAGUGACACUUUGGGCGCUUUGGAGGGCACGCAGGAGAGCUAUGCAUGAGGAUAUAUAUGACAGUCUGUUGCAAAUCCAUCACUUCGUCAGUGCUUUUAUGAGGGACAUCCAGAUUAUAUCGACUCCAAAGCAAUCGUCAGUUAGCAGUUUGGUGAGCAGGCCAUCACAGUGGCUACCACCGCCACUUGAACAUGCGAAGCUGAAUGUGGACGCGACGGUUUUGAAUGAGAAUAUUGGUGCAGCAGCGGUGGUGUGCAAGGACAGUAACGGAGCUUUUUUGGGUGCGUCGGCAAUCACUUUUAAAUAUAUUCAUAACCCCGUUACACUUGAAGCUUUGGCGGUACGUGAGGCGCUAGCAAUUGCGGAGGAUUUAUAUUUACAAAAAUUCAAAUGGUGUCUGACUGCAAGACGGUUGUGGAUGACAUCAAGCUGGGAUCAUCGGCGAAACAUGCAGCUAUUAUACAUGAAAUCACAGAUCGUUGGCGUCUUUUUAUCGCUUGUAACAUUAUCCACGAGUUUAGGAGCUCGUAUUUUGAGGCUUACAAUCUUGCUGGGCAUGCUCUUUCACUUGGGUUCGAUCGCUAUGUUUGGUUAG